CGGGAGGCUUAACACAUGCAAGUCGAGGGGCAUCACGAGGUAGCAAUACUUUGGUGGCGACCGGCAGACGGGUGAGUAACGCGUAUGCAACCUACCCUGUACAGGGGGAUAACCCGGAGAAAUUCGGACUAAUAUCCCAUAAUAUUAUUUGGAGGCAUCUUCGGAUAAUUAAAGUUCCGGCGGUACGGGAUGGGCAUGCGUAACAUUAGCUAGUUGGUAAGGUAACGGCUUACCAAGGCUUUGAUGUUUAGGGGUCCUGAGAGGGUGGUCCCCCACACUGGUACUGAGACACGGACCAGACUCCUACGGGAGGCAGCAGUGAGGAAUAUUGGUUAAUAGGCGCAAGCCUGAACCAGCCAUCCCGCGUGCAGGAAGACGGCCCUAUGGGUUGUAAACUGCUUUUCCGAAAGGCGAAACUCAGCGACGUGUCGUUGAUUGACGGUAUUUCGGGAAUAAGCAUCGGCUAACUCCGUGCCAGCAGCCGCGGUAAUACGGAGGAUGCGAGCGUUAUCCGGAUUCAUUGGGUUUAAAGGGUGCGUAGGCGGACUAAUAAGUCAGUGGUGAAAUCCUGCAGCUUAACUGCAGAACUGCCAUUGAUACUGUUAGUCUUGAGUUUGGUUAAGGUAGGCGGAAUGUGUAAUGUAGCGGUGAAAUGCUUAGAUAUUACACAGAACACCAAUUGCGUAGGCAGCUUACUGGACCGACACUGACGCUGAGGCACGAAAGCGUGGGGAUCGAACAGGAUUAGAUACCCUGGUAGUCCACGCCGUAAACGAUGAUUACUCGCUGUUGGCGAUACACAGUCAGCGGCUAAGCAAAAGCAAUAAGUAAUCCACCUGGGGAGUACGGCCGCAAGGUUGAAACUCAAAUGAAUUGACGG
This 880-nucleotide ribosomal RNA is filed under the name uncultured bacterium. Its description in RNAcentral is "bacterial SSU rRNA". It matches the Rfam family "Bacterial small subunit ribosomal RNA", at positions 40 to 916 of the family's 1533-position model. The record is from RNAcentral.